This 395-nucleotide ribosomal RNA is filed under the name uncultured bacterium. RNAcentral describes it as "partial 16S ribosomal RNA". It matches the Rfam family "Bacterial small subunit ribosomal RNA", at positions 338 to 730 of the family's 1533-position model. The record is from RNAcentral.
CCUACGGGUGGCAGCAGUGAGGAAUAUUGGUCAAUGGCCGCGAGCCUGAACCAGCCAAGUAGCGUGAAGGAUGACUGCCCUACGGGUUGUAAACUUCUUUUAUCAUGGAGUAAAGUGAGGCUCGUGGCCUUCUUUGUAUGUACUUUAUGAAUAAGGAUCGGCUAACUCCGUGCCAGCAGCCGCGGUAAUACGGAGGAUGCGAGCGUUAUCCGGAUUUAUUGGGUUUAAAGGGAGCGGAGGUGGGUGGUUAAGUCAGUUGUGAAAGUUUGCGGCUCAAACGUAGAAUUGCAAUUGAUACUGGCAGCCGUGAGUGCAGUUGGGGUAGGCGGAAUGCGUGGUGUAGCGGUGAAAUGCUUAGAUAUCACGAAGAACUCCGAUUGCGAAGGCAGCCUACU